RNAcentral lists this ribosomal RNA (278 nucleotides) under uncultured prokaryote. Its description in RNAcentral is "partial 16S ribosomal RNA". It matches the Rfam family "Bacterial small subunit ribosomal RNA", at positions 524 to 801 of the family's 1533-position model. The record is from RNAcentral.
CACGUAGGAGGCGAGCGUUGUCCGGAUUUACUGGGCGUAAAGGGAGCGUAGGCGGACUUUUAAGUUAUAUGUGAAAGGCGUGGGCUCAACCCACGAAUUGCAUCUAAAACUGGUUUUCUUGAGUUCGGGAGAGGAGAGCGGAAUUCUUGGUGUAGCGGUGGAAUGCGUAGAUAUCGGGAGGAAUACCAGUGGCGAAGGCGGCACCCUGGCAUUGACCUGACGCUCAGGCACGAAGGCGUGGGGAUCAAACAGGAUUAGAUACCCGCGUAGUCCCUGAG